Manduca sexta (tobacco hornworm) is the source of this 16275-nucleotide long non-coding RNA. RefSeq lists it as uncharacterized. The record is from RefSeq and is a predicted model, not a curated record. Lineage: Eukaryota; Metazoa; Arthropoda; Insecta; Lepidoptera; Sphingidae. The transcript has 4 exons.
UUUUUAUUGAUUGUAUAUUUGAGCGUGUUUGUUCACGUCUGCGCGUUGUGUUGCCUCCACCGAGCCGCCAUUUUGUGAACAACUACGCAGCGUGGCCCCUCUGUAGCGCUCGGGUAUAAAAAGCCGGCAUGACGUCACACGCCCGCAUUAAUUUCUCGUCGUGAUGCAGUGUGGACGUGUCUCCGUGUUGUGAAGUGAUCCAGUAUUCUAGUGUCUUGUGCCUGUUCGGAUUCAGUCCCAUUGCGUUUCGCGUGGGUCUGCAUCCGACGGCCGCCAUCUUGGUCGUCGCUGGGGCGUGGUCGCUGCUAGCUACAAAAUGGGUUUGUAGAACGGUAUCAUGCAUUUAUUUAGUCUCAUUGUAAAAUAAAGUGUUUCAAUUUAGUCUAUUUCAUGAUAGUUAAAUUGGAAUUUUUUUCUUAUUCAUAUUGAAUAAAAAAUUGUAACAUAUGUUUAAGUAUGGACAUUAAAGAUAUUUAAAAAAGUUGUUGUAUAUCUGAUUUUUAUUUUAUAAACUGUGAUUUUUUACCACACACAAAAUGUAUUAUUCCAUGACUCUACAACUUCUUGGCGGAGAGACACGGUGGAGUAUCUCCGGUGGUGCUAACGGUUGGCGUGUACGAGUACAAACGAGUAUGAGUCGCCUGCCUGCGAAGCUGCUUCCUUUCGCUGCGUACUGCGUAACUCACUAUGGCAUUGCCGUCGUACUCCGUGCUAAUCGGCGCGCUCACGUGAAACAUUCAAGUCCCGGUUGUCAGCCCACUAGGUAACGUUAGGUGAUUGCAUCAUGUUUUCGUUAUGCCCGAACUCGGGCCACUUGUGCGUAACAUUGUCUUUAGGUCUCCACCCGCGGCUGAUAUCGACGUGGAAAACCGAUUUCACCAUAUUGGCAAAUGUGUGGCUUUAUCUAUAAGGGGAAUCGUGGAAGCAAUGACGCGCUCCGGUGAGUCAUGUUUUCAAGGCGAACGCGAGGCUGUAAACAAUGAAUCAAAGAAUUCUUGCAAACAUGAAUCACAAUACCACGGAAUGAACUAGAGGUUUGAAUGUGUGUGUAUAACCAUUAGUCCAAACAGGCACAUCUGUACUGUAAAGAAGACGAUCGUUUCAAGCACUCCUGUGAUCGCGGUUACGCAUCUUGCACUCCAUGAGGGCAGGCCAUGGUUCAGGAGUUACGAGUGAUCGCACUGCACCACGGCAACCUUAAUUUUAGGUAAACUUAAACAAAGUUUUACAUUUUAAUAUCGAAUCAAUCCAUUGUAAUAUAAACAUGUAGUACUUAAUUAUGACAAUGAAACUACGGAGGAUCAAAGGAAAUACAUGAUGCAACAAUUAGGAUUAAUUGAAAUUAACGGAAGUAUAAACAUGCUGCGCGCAAGGAUUUAAUCAAGUGGGCUGAUACAAAUCGGAUGAUUCAAUCUUAUAUCACAAAGAAAUACAUAAAAAGCAAAUUAAGAAUAGGGACACGAGAUUCUGGAUAGACUAAACGGUGAGUAGAAUGCGUUAAAUGAUCCUAAAGAGACCUAAGUGUCUCGCUAAGCUGAAUAUUGUGCGUGCGCACAUUUAUUGAUUUCCAUGCUAACUUCACAGCUAAUGACCGAGUUGGAGCCGAGGCAGACGUGCGCAAGUCACGCGUCAGGCUAAGACCAUAAACAAAGCAGGGCGGUGUUCUUCCUCGUGAAGAAGCAUGACUGGCUCCAAACAUUAGCGCGUGGACCGUCACAACCCCCACAGAUAAGUCAACCGGUCAAACUCAAUAAGUCAUAUCUAACCAGUCUAUAGCAUGAGCGCAAUUUCGAAUAAAAAUUGUAAUCAGAGGAAAAAUGCUGAAUAUGUAACAAAUAACAUUUAAGUACUAUAAUGAAACUAUACUACCUGUUAUAGGUAAGUAUUUAAUAACGAGCUAUCACUAUAACAGGAAAUCAAAACUUAUAAAAUAUUGGAUAAUAGUGGAAAAUUUGUUAUUGAGUCAUCGGAAUUAGUUAGUUUAAUAGCCUGCCGUAAAGGCAGGUAGGGCUCUCUAAAUUCUCUAGUUUGCUUUCAGAUUUAUAAUGGAAAGAUUCUAUAAUUAUUAUUGGUUUAAAUCAUACCAAGUACAUAAUAUAUAUUUAAUCUUGGCUCCAUUUAGCGAACACGAGAUGCUAUAUCGACAACAACGUCGCGAUCUGACCAAAAUAGUAAAUAAAAAACAGCAUCAAUUAAGUCUCAUAUUCCAUAUGUCUAUGAAGUAUUUACCCAACAUUUACGUCGAUAAAUCAUAAAAGAUAUUCAGGACACAUGAAAUCAGGAGUAGGUAACUUAUGACGACUAUGAUUAAUCGAGACAAAAAUGAUGUGAUUGAUGAUGGAAUGAUCGAAAAUGUGAUUAUUACUUAAGUACUCUAAGGUUAUGUUGAAAUAGAAAGGUAAUUCGUACUAUCCGUAAUGGCGAUUCGUCGCUGCUUUUUUUGUCUUUGUUCAUUAACUUCAGGAAGCUGAAUUCGGAGACUGCAUUGCAAACUACAACCGUUGCCUUGUACACUCUAGAAUAACAAGCUCAUGUCUCCUGCGGUGAUAUUAGUUCAACCGAGUUCUGCAAACAAUGAACGUACCUGCGUCAUACCCCUAUACAAAGAAACUUGGUAAAGUUGAUAUUGGGAUCUUACGUAAUUCAAAUUUAUCAGCUUUUAUUAUGAUACGCAUUUGCUUAAUCAUAUAUGUUUGUUUUGAAUUUGCGUCUGUUUCGACGACGCCAUUUUGUCGAUGCUUGUCUUUUGUUCAGCUAGGUCCGCCGCGCUAAACGCGAUUGGUGGCUGCUGCAAUAGGAAGGCUUUUAUUUGAGACCAUUAUACUUGAAAACUUAAGCUGGAGCUGUUAUGUUGGUCCGUUAUGAACAAAGCAAAUUAUCCCCGAAGUUACUAUAUUAAUAACUAAGGUCUUCAAUAUCCUGACAAUUGAUAAAUAUCUAUAUCUAUAUUCAACGCUACAAAAUUAAGGACACACCACUAACUACAAUUACAAAGUAAAAUUAUAAAUAUCUGAACUAUGUAUGGAAAGCUGCAAGCUAUGGGACCUAUCACUGCAUAGUUACAUGUAAAUUACGAAACAAAACAGUAAAGGUAAAGCCCAUAUUGUAAAUUGAAUACUUCAUUUUGUACUUGCAUAGAACAGUUUGGUUGUCCUCGAAUGACUUAUACCAGAUGAAAUUGAGAAGCUAUGAAGGAGUGUAAACAUUAAUGUGGUAUGUUACACAUUGUCAUAUCUUAAAUGGCUUUUAAAUUUUAACGGAUUGCACUUGCAGUCCAUUAUUUUGGUGUGUUUUAUUUUAUUUAGGAUCCAGUUGUUUGAUUUGAGGCAUGGCAUUAGUCUAGAGAUGUUAUGAACCUGAUAUCAACCCACAAGUAUAUAUAUCUGCAUCGUGCGUAGGCGCAUGAGAAACAUAAGCACAAAAAUUUAAUAUAGAUACAUAUAUAAAUCAGCACUAUUUUUGUUGUACUUGCUACAUCUGAUAAAAACCGGAGAUGAAUACGACUUAAACCGCUGUCGAGGUAAUCACAAAGCUAAUUUAAAACUACAAUGACCAUUGGAGUAUUUAUCUACUGAAAUAAAUGUAAUAUGGGAUUCAAAUGAAAGGCCCAAUGCAAGUAUGUAUAUCAUUAUUAUGCUUUAAGAAAUCUAAAUAAUAAUGAAACGAAACUUAUCAUAAAUUUAUUAUUGAAUAUGAAAAUUGAAGUUAUAACCAAAAAUAUUAAACAUUAUCUAUAAUAAAAUAAGAGACAACCUAUUAACCUAUAUGGUUCGUUAAAAACUUGAAACUAGCAACAGAAAAGUAAGUAUUUGGAAUAGAUCACGUGACCCCAGAGCGGGUCUAGCAAAAUAUUCUUUUUUUGCUACAGCUUGUUACAUUCAUGCAAACGGUGCUCCAUCCUGUGACCGUCGCUGCAUCUGUACGAGACAAAAUAGAGUGCACUACAUGUCCCUCGUGUCAUCACUGCGUAAUUGCCUGGAGGCCAGAACGACUGUGGCCAAGAAUUUUAGCACCGUAACUUUGGCAAGUUACUAAACAAAAACACAUUUUAUUGUAAUUUCGUAUAAUUUACCUAUUUACCUUUACGCGUAGCUUUUUUAUUUGUAACCAAUACGUUUCCUUAAUAUGUAGCAAAAAGUAAUAUGGUUUUGUUCUGUGUGUUAUAAUAUUCCUCCUGCAGCGCAUCAUUUUGCUAGUAUUGAUGUUACCGUAACACAAUAUGUAUCUGCAUAAUGCAUCAUCCCUGCAGUUAGCUUCCUUCCCGUCGCCUAUUAUUUCCGCCAACUGCAGGAUGAACUUCUCCAUGAUGGCGUUCAGCACGGCACAUGUAAAAUGAUUUCUAACUGCACUUCGAUCCGGCGCGCUAUGAAUCCCCGAAGUCGAGAUAUGACAUGAUGACUUGUUGAUACUGACGCCGCGUCGCCACUCUGCAACCUAUGCAUGCCGGUGACGUGUUGCUUCAUGCUCGAGCUAGUCAACGCGUGCAUGGUUAUCAUUCGCGCUGGUGACACAUUCGCGUUGGCUGCUCGCAUCGACCUACACCCAGCGUGCCCGCCGCGUCGGUUCACCAAGGCGACUCGAGUACGUGACGUCACCAGCCUGGCCUGGCAAGCUAAUCUUGCACAUUGCCUGAACGCCUAACGUGUUCGAUCUUCGAUUCGUGCUGAAUUCUUGGCGCCUGUCGGAGCAGCCCAGUGUCACGUCACCUAUCACCAUUCGUGAUCGUAAUGCAGCGCAGACUUUGUGCUUCGAGCUAAAGCCGCGUCUUCCGCUAGCCUUCGGCGAGGUCGAGGUAGUGAGUUGAAAAUUUAUUUGCUUUGCCAAUCGUAAAAGCACUGCGUCACUGGCCUGCCAGUGGCGAAUCACACGUUUCAAUUCCGCGCUCCGAUUUCUUUUUUUUAUCAGAUCCUUGGCGCCUGUCUGCCGGGUCAUUCAGGCAUCUGCCAGCUGAGCAUCUGCACAUAGAGGAGACGCGUUAACAACCUGUCGGACCAGACUGGCCGGGCUCUGCUUCCACUUCGUGCCAGCUCCUUGGCGCGCCUGCCUACGCGAUCGUGUCUCCGUGACUUCGCGCUACUGAUCUUCCCUGGUCCAGACAACGCGGCGUCAACAGCCAGUCGGUGCAGGCUGGUCAGGCACAUCGCCUGGCUCCGGCCGGGCUUUGCUUCCACUGCGUGCCAGCUCUUUGGCGCCUGCCUACGCGAUCGUGUCUCCGUGACUUCGCGCUACUGAUCUCCUCUGGUCCAGACAACGCGGCGUCAACAGCCUGCCGGUGCAGGCUGGUCAGGCACAUCGCCUGGCUGCGGCCGGGCUUUGCUUCCACUUCGUGCCAGCUCCUUGGCGCCUGCUUACUCGAUCGUGUCUCCGUGACUUCGCGCUACUGAUCUCCCCUGAUCCAGACAACGCGGCGUCAAUAGCCUGUCGUCGGUGCAGGCUGGUCAGGCACAUCGCCUGGCUGCGGCCGGGCUUUGCUUCCACUUCGUGCCAGCUCCUCGGCGCCUGCCUACGCGAUCGUGUCUCCGUGACUUCGCGGUACAGAUCUCCCCCUGAUCCAGACAACGCGGCGUCAAUAGCCUGUCGUCGGUGCAGGCUGGUCAGGCACAUCGCCUGGCUGCGGCCGGGCUUUGCUUCCACUUCGUGCCAGUUCCUUGGCGCCUGCCUACGCGAUCGUGUCUCCGUGACUUCGCGCUACUGAUCUCCCCUGGUCCAGACAACGCGGCGUCAACAGCCUGUCGCUGCAGGCUGGUCAGGCACAUCGCCUGGCUGCGGCCGGGCGCUUCCACUUCGUGCCAGCUCCUUGGCGCCUGUCUACGCGAUCGUGUCUCCGUGACUUCACGCUACUGAUCUCCCCUGGUCCAGACAACGCGGCGUCAAUAGCCUGCCGGUGCAGGCUGGUCAGGCACAUCACCUGGCUGCGGCCGGGCUUUGCUUCCACUUCGUGCCAGCUCCUCGGCGCCUGCCUACGCCAUCGUGUCUCCGUGACUUCGCGGUACAGAUCUCCCCUGGUCCAGACAACGCGGCGUCAAUAGCCUGUUGGUGCAGGCUGGUCAGGCACAUCGCCUGGCUGCGGCCGGGCUUUGCUUUCACUGCGUGCCAGUUCCUUGGCGCCUGCCUACGCGAUCGUGUCUCCGUGACUUCGCGCUACUGAUCUCCCCUGGUCCAGACAACGCGGCGUCAACAGCCUGUCGCUGCAGGCUGGUCAGGCACAUCGCCUGGCUGCGGCCGGGCGCUUCCACUUCGUGCCAGCUCCUUGGCGCCUGUCUACGCGAUCGUGUCUCCGUGACUUCGCGCUACUGAUCUCCCCUGGUCCAGACAACGCGGCGUCAACAGUCUGUAGCCUGCAGGCUAUGCGAACACAUCAGCUGGUUGCUGGUCGAGUGCAUCGCCUUACAGUUGGUCGGGUGCAUCGCCUGACAGGUGGUCGGGUGCAUCGCCUGGCUGCUGGUCGGGUGCAUUGCCUGGCUGCUGGUCGGGUGCAUCGCCUGACAGGUGGUCAGGUGCAUCACCUGACAGGUGGUCGGGUGCAUCGUCUGGCUGCUGGUCGGGUGCAUCGCCUGGCUGCUGGUCGGGUGUAUCGCCUGAGAGGUGGUCGGGCGCAUCGCCUGGCUGCUGGUCGGGUGUAUCGCCUGACAGGUGGUCGGGCGCAUCGCCUGGCUGCUGGUCGGGCUCUGCUUCCACUUCGUGGCAGCUUCUUUAUGCCUGUCUACGCGGUCAUGUCUUGGCAUCAUGUUAGUGGUCUCCCCUGAUCCAGACAACGCGAUGUCAACAGCCUGGUGUCAGGCAUAAUGCCUGGCUACGUCGUGCUAGCGGGCUACCUGGUCGAGGCGCAUUGACUAGACACCCGUUCGUGUUCUAUUGUAACUUGUGCCUGUCGCUGGGCGUCUGCCUGACGCGCCAUGUUGGUGCCUCGCAGAAUGUUGAAACCUGUGCGUGGAAAUGAAAAUGUCGCGCCGCGUCAACUGCCUGAACUGCCGUCGCGAGUUGGGAGCCCUGCGCCUACCACCUGCCCUGACAACUUCGGUGUCUCCCGUCUUCAACGGUGGCCAGUAUCAGGUACACAUUUAUGUAAUCGCAACUUUUCGACACGACGUUAAGGUAUUUGUUCGCAGAGUCGACUUGAUAAUGUGCCAACCGUCUUCAAACUUAUGGCGACGAGCCCAAAUGUCUACGUGUAUCCUAGAGCCACGUAAAAUCAAUCUUAAAUAUUAUGUACUUCGCUUCGUCUAUAUGCGGUACAGUGCGUGUUUUAUAAUCAUAUAGUAUCAUAAAUUAUACCAUAUAUUAUUAUUUUUGCGCUAAACAGCGCUUUGCCUUAACGGCCUUAGAGGCCAUAUGUUGCCUUAGUUCUUUGUUAGAUGGAGCAUCGCCCGUCUACCACCAUACCAAAUCAUCAUUCGGACGUCGAGAAGUCCGCGUCAGAACACGAGGUCUCUGUUAAUACGUUCGCGGUGCUGUGUACAACUAUAUGGUUCACGCCACACUUUGCAAAAGGCUCUGUGAAGGUACGAAUUCUAAAGCAUUGAAAAAAAAUGUUUACGUUUAUCUAUAUGGUCACCAUAGAAAAAACCAUGCUUAACUGUAACUCUGGUAAAAUUUCUACUGAAAUUACGUGAGCUAACAGAUCUGGGUAUAAAAGCUGCAUUAACGUAAAUUACUCAAAAAAAAUUGACGGAAUUUAGCGAGUGCCACUUCGUUACUGGUAAUAGAUUUUACAUAUUUCGAUGUAUAAAUAUAUCUUAACUAUUGCAUCGCAAAAGUAUUUCGCGUAACAGCCAAUGGUAUUCCAUGGCGCAGCUCUAAUAUAUGUUACAGUACGUCUUCAUUGAUCUAUUUCAUCUGCUAAAUCGCCACGAUUCGUCGGGAGUGUGCGCCAUCCAUCAAUUCACAGCGCAAUCUGACAGCAAUUUCGGUAUGUUUGUGCCCCACGCUCUAUAACUGCUUUCUACGUAGAAGCUCCCUUAACGCCGAUACAGCUAUCUGGUACUUUUAAAUACAAUCACUCUUAGAGUGAAUCAAAUGUAUAUGGAGCUAUCUGCGGUGACAACAGCGUAUGCCAAAUGCUUGUUUUGCGUCAUUACCACAAUGCGUCGACACAAGGUAUCAGUAACAGCUAAUGUAUAGUUAUGGCGCGUCGUGACUAAUCGUCCACCUUAAGAAAAGUAAACCGAGCCUAGAUGACCAUUGGGUAUGUACCUACCUAUGACCAUAACAUUAAUAUAAUUUUCUACGCAUAUUGUUCUGUCUCAUCGCAUCGAUACUGAUUGUCGUUGAAGGUACUUUCCAUAUUCCAUAAUAAACAUAAUAUUUGAUCCUUUGUUGGAACUUGGAAUAUGUUUGUUGUGUUUAACUGUGAACCACCAGACCAUAUGGAAAGCUGUCUCCAUUCCUGCGGCAGCAUUCAGGAGAUUUGAUGCGGGUCACCUCUACUAGAGCAUGCGCAACAACAGUUGUCAAGUUCAAGUAAGAAGUAAAGCGAAUGCAUGGCAUUUAGUACAUGUGUAUAGUGAAAAAAAAAACAUAAUUGAGAAAUGACGAAGUUACAAUACUGAAAAUUGUCACAAGUGCUUUAGGGUAUUUACAAAAAGAUUGAUUGAUCUUUAUUAUUAUGACAAAUAACUGCCAUUAAGUUAACGAAACGACUGAUACUAUCAGAAUACUCUAGUAGCUUCUAUGACAUGACAGUCCGCUUGCAAUGCGGCUGUCUUCUUCACGAAUCUGGAGGCAUCUUUACAGAUAUAUUAAGGCACCGUACAUAUAGCUGCUGGCUUGCCGGAACAUCGUGUCGUCCGUCGACCAGUACGACUCCGUGCGAAACAGCUUCACGUCGCCAACUAACUUCGUGGCAACAGCGAGACAAUAUCUAUCAGUGCGUACCGGUAACGCAAUACCUAACUAUCGCUUCGACCCUCAGGGAACUAGCCAUAGAUCUUUAAGCCGCGCCGUCUGUAAGCGGUUCGACGAGUUUGGGAAUCGAACACGCGUUUCCGCCAACCGGCACCGUCGGUGCCAACGAAAUCUCAUCACGGCAGUGGCCCAGCGCUUUAGCAGAAAAUUCUUCUGAUGGCAGGUCUUCUUUUACUAAUGAAUCAGGUAUAAAGAAAUACAUUUAUGUUUGGUGUCGUACCUAUGGUAAAUAAUAUUUAUAAGUAUUGCGCUGUAUAGCGCUUUUCUUAACGGCCUUCCGAGGCCAUUCGUCUUCUUCCUUAUUCGUCAGAUUGGGAAUCGCGCCCUUCUCUGCAACCUCAAGGCUUUACUAAGUAGUGGAAUAGCGAGACACGUCGCUUUGGAAUCGACAACAAUGCUGCAGCUUCAGCUGCGUUUGCGAUUACGGCGCAGUGAGCAUUUUUCAUAUCAUAUGGGCUCUGGCAAGGUAUGACUUCUGAUUGUUUUGAAAAUGUGACUGCGGUCGUCCAUUGGCAAUCAAUAAAUAGAAAAGUCAGCUCUAAAAAGUAAAUAAAUGGCCACACAUACUACCUAACCUCGGUGCCAACUUUAGUUACUGGUAAAUACGUAAUAUGACAAUUUAUAGACCUUUAACUACUGCAUGUCAAAAAUACGCAUAUUUGCGUCACCUAACAGCCAUUGGUUAGUUUGGUACGGAAUUGCUUGAUUGCGGAAUCGACGGUGGCGCUUCUGACAAUUAUGUACGAUAGCAUGUUGGCCCUAUAUUUUACUUCGAAGAGGUUCGUAACGAGUACAUUCUAUCAAUUUCUAUCCAGUAAAACAUACCACAGUACCUAUCGUCUCCGGUUUGUCGCCUAUUGAGUACGUAUCCUCAUCGCUAGUUACAUCAUUACCACCAAGCGCGAAUGAAAGGUAUCAAUGACUACCUAUUACUAAAGCUAUGAAUCUUCAUGACUUACACAUGCUGCGUGAAAAAUCAUCUGAAAAACAUGUCGAGUGUAAAAAGCUUCUUAUAUGUGUAGACAACCAUCACAAGUUGUUUUGCUGCGUUGCCUUUGCGCUGGAUAAACUGCUUCGGAGAAGGUAUUUGCAGAAUUGAUUGCAUUUUCAAACAUUAGAUGUGACAAACAUUAAUGGAGAAUGGACCUUCUCCCAUGGGUAAUUAGAUUUUUUGUAAGAUGACGACUUCAGACGCUCAACGAUCAAUGUUUCAUCACUACGUGAGCAUGUGGAUCAAAAGCUUUCUCAGCACUAUAGCUCAUCCGCAAUAUGACAAAAGCACGCCUUCUUAGAAUGGUAUUGUUUAAUAGUUUGUUAUGGAUUACUAAACAACCCAAUGGGCAGAGUAGCUUUGGAAUGACUAAUCAGCAAUGCCCUGCAUCGUGUUGGUCAGGUAAAUGCAAUACAUUAUGUUCGCUAGUUAUCCAUAUUUGUAUAAUAUUCCAUAGUGGUUUGAUCUGGAUUGAAUAGUAUUUUACUGAAUUGCGGGCAACCCGAGCAACUAAAAUAUGGUAUGGUAAAAUUCCUAAAUAUGUUCGUGCAAUGUGUGUUCGUCUUUUCUUCAAUCUGCUUGCAGUUUCAAGAAUUUAGCUUAUCACAUACAAAUUAAGACAUAAGGUACUAUGGUACACCACUAAUCCAUAUAACUGAGAAAAUGUUGAAGCACUGCCAUUUUAUGAGCUAUAUUCACUAACUAAUGAGGACAAAUGUAAUUGCAAAAUCUGUCCGGGUACGUACCUACGUUUAUCUUCUAUUCCUAUAUGCCAACAAUUAUUAGGACUUAACCAACAAUCCGAAGUUGAUGGUGAAAAAUCUCCACGAUUUCUCCGUAUUAAAAGCCAAUUGAGGAGUAAGGAUUAUUAUAAAUUACACGUCACUAACAUCUAAGGUUUCAAGUGAGAAAUAAACCAAGAGAAACUCCAGGCUAAUGAGACAUGGAUGAGUUGAUGUCUGGUGUCGGUUGUAAGUCGCUAAUGCAAAUAUUAUUUGUGUAGUUUUUAGUAAUAAUUUUUAUGCGAAAAACACUAACAACCCAAUUUACUUUAACAAAAUCAUAAUAUCCUAUGUUAAAUAUUAUGCAUCAUUGCGUGACAAUUUAUGUUCAUUAUUCAUUUUUGGCAUUUGUUUGGGUUAAUAUUUUAUUUUAAUUUAAUGGAUCGAACAACGUUUCAUUAACUACAGAUGCUUAUAUGUAUAUUGAUAAUCACCCAGUUCCAAUGCAAUUCUACUUGUGCAAUGUAUAUAUCUUUUAUAAGUUCUUCAUAAGCACGCUGUGAACGCAUGCAGCUAGAUACUUAAACGACAUGGGAAAUUGUUUAUUAAAAGCCAAUUUGAACUAUAUGUAGAAGUGCUGUCACUUUGAGGCUUUAACAUUAGCUUAAAGAAAUUUGUAAGUUUUAAAACACCUAAUGUGUAAAAUGUAAUAAUUGUAUGAAUAUGCAUGUUGUGUCGUGUUACAUUAUAUGCUCUAUUUUUAUGUAUGUAUACGUGUGUUGUGUACCUAAUCAGCGUUGUUUCAGGCACCUUACAUUAGCUAAAUUUGAUUGUUUCAGAAACAGUAUAUGUUGGUAAUUUCUUACUUAUAAAUACCGUACAAAAUGCAAUAAGUUAUUAACUGUAAAAAACCUCUUGCUUGUACACAUAAUUAUAAUGAAAAUUGUUUUGUCAUAUAUUGGCUAUAAGGCUACCAUUUCAGGAAAAUAUUUCAGAUAAUAUAAUAAUAUCAAAGAUAUUAGAUGAUGUGAAAAUUGAGUUACUUACUAUAAUACCAUAAACAUCAAAAGGUUACAAACAAUAUAUCGCCAACCUAUACAAAAUUAUGUGCAACGUAUCAUUUUAAAAGCAAAAUAUCAUUAAUCAAUAUGCAAAUAAAAAAUAUGCACAGAUUACUGGGGCUAUGCUCAAAAUACAUAUAUAUGUAACGAUACACAAACAGGUGAAUGGGAAAUUAUGCUCUAUAAUAUAGUCAGGCCAAAUGUAAGAAAACAUGCCAAAACAAGGAUUUAUUCCUUUUGGCUAGGUAUUAACUUUAUAUUUUCAGAUCUAUUUAUAACACGAUUAUUUUCGUGGAAUAAUGCUCCCAGACUAGCUCACAGCUCUCAUUCACAUAAAUUAUAAUUUAAAAAACCAAAAUAUAGAAAUUGGAUGAAAACCUGCAUAAACAAAUGGAGGAGUAUUUGAAUGUAAUAUUAAAUCUAUUCUGAAAGCUAUCAAUAAGAAAGUAAAAAUACAUUCGAAUAAAUAAACUGAUGCAUAUUAUGGGUAAUUUCACGAUUGGUAUAUUUGUAUGUGUGCGAGGUGAGUGCUAUAAUAGAAAAGUUUACUUUAAAUAAUGAACGAUUGUGAGCGAUACAUUAGAUCUUAGAAUUUUGUAACUAAAAGAUUGAACAAUUUUCUUCGUCUGUUGAUCUUUGUAUAAGCUUUUUUUUGGGUUUAUUAUAAUUUUACAUACUUAUUCUGUUUGUGGCGGAUAUGUUUGGGGUGGUGCGUAGGGUUAAUAUAAUGUUAUAGUUUCUUACAGACCAGCAUUUUAGGUAAAUUUAAUAACAAGCGAAAAUGUCCAAGUACUUAUAUCACUUUAUAAUAAAGCUAUGGAAAGAAUUUGCAAGAUGAAGUUUACUUACAUGAUCGUGGAAUUGUGUUUUAUGGAAAAGAUCAAUAAGAAAAGGACAGACAUAAUAUUUUAAUAAUUUCAGGAACAAAUUAAUUAUUAUUGUAAUAUUGAUACAUAACCAAGUAAUUCUGAAACAAAACAAUAGGGUAGACAAUCAAAGAAGACAAUGAUAUAUUUUUUUUCAGUAAACUUAUAAGAAAAGCCAUGUCGCGAAGUUUAUUUUCAAGUUGUAACAGAGUUACCAGUCAUGAUGUGAGGUUAUCACCUUGUGGUAUCAUCUUGUGAAAUGUGCCUAUUGCAAGUUUAUAAUAUUAUCAUGAGAAUGAUGUGAAAAGUUGUCUAGAAAUGAGUUUAUUGAAAGUUACUGAAAUCAAUAUGGUGAAUUGUUGUUAUUCGUGAUGUUGCAUAUAAUGUUUAAAUGUAUGAAUUAAAAUGUGGCACAUAAGUGAGUUAUAACGUUUAUAAUACUGUGAAAUUAAAUUGUACAUGUUGCAAUACCUAGUAAUAUUCAAGUAAGAAGAAUCAAAUUAUAACAAUUACUGAAAACAAUAUAGAUGAAACAGUCAUGGAAAAUAUCGAACAGAAGUUAAGAAGAGUUUACUACGAAAACAAUUGUUCAGUAAUAUCCUAUUUUAACACCACACUCAGCUUCGUCUAAUUUAAUAAUUACAUCAGUCAAGUCCAAGAAAUAAAAGAAUACAAGCAAAGAUAUUAUAGAAGAUGAAAGAAGAAUACUAACAAUUAAAUUAGCUGUACUAAGGAGGCUUGAUGCAAGUUCAUAUUUAUAAUUUACAAGAAAAUUACAAAACUCGUAUACCAACGCAGAGAAGAGAGAAGUUGAAGAUGACACAAUAGAGAAGAUGAACAAAGUAGAGGAUGCGACCUGUCUUUGCGACACAUGAUACAUUAAAGAUGCGGCGUCCUACUCAUGAUGAUGAAAAAGGAAAAUAAAUAGUCUACGCCAUUGUAUGACACUAAAUUAACAAAGACGCUAAAGAUCGUUAAGAAACAUGAAGAGAGAAGACAAAGCAUGCGACGUUCCAUGAAAGAUGAUGAAGAAACAAGAGAAUGCGGCCUGCAGCGGAUGAAGAAAGAAGAGGAUGCGGCCUACAGAAGAUGAAGAUAGAAGAGGAUGCGGCGUGCCACUGCAGAACAUGAAGAAAGAAGAGGAUGCGGCGUGCUACUACUGAAGAUGAAGAAAGAAGAGGGUCCGGUUUGCUAUUAUAGAAAAUAAGACUGAAGAGUACUCGGCGUAAUAUUAAUAAACAUGAAAAAAAAGAGGAUGCGGUGUGCCACUACAGAAGAUGAAAAAAUAAGACGAUGCGGCGUCCCCCUGCAGAAGAUGAAGAAAGAAAAGGAUGCGGCGUGCCACUGCAGAAGACGAAGAAAGAAGAGGAUGCGGCGUGCCACUCCAGAAGACGAAGAAAGAAGAGGAUGCGGCGUGCCACUGCAGAAGAUGAAGAAAGAAGAGGAUGCGGCGUGCCACUGCAGAAGAUGAAGAAAGAAGAGGAUGCAGCGUGCCACUGCAGAAGAUGAAGAAAGAAGAGGAUGCGGCGUGCCACUGCAAAAGAUGAAGAAAGAAGAGAAUGCGACGUGCCAAUGCAGAAGAUGAAGAAAGAAGAGGAAGCGGCUUGCCACUGCAGAAGAUGAAGAAAGUAGAAGAUGCGGCGUGUCACUACUCAAGAUGGAGAAGGAAGAGGGUGUGGUGUACUACAACAGAAGACGAAGAAAGAAAAGGAUGCGGUUUGCUAUUAUAGAAAAUGACACUGAAGAGGAUGCGGUGUAAUAUUAAUGAUCAUAUAGAGAAAGAAGAGGAUGCGGCGUGCCAUUACACAAAAUGAAGAAAGAAAAGGAUGCGGCGUGCCACUGCAGAAGACGAAGAAAGAAGAGGAUGCGGCGUGCCACUCCAGAAGACGAAGAAAGAAGAGGAUGCGGCGUGCCACUGCAGAAGAUGAAGAAAGAAGAGGAUGCGGCGUGCCACUGCAGAAGAUGAAGAAAGAAGAUGCGGCGUGCCAAUGCAGAAGAUGAAGAAAGAAGAGGAUGCGGCGUGCCACUGCAAAAGAUGAAGAAAGAAGAGGAUGCGACGUGCCAAUGCAGAAGAUGAAGAAAGAAGAGGAAGCGGCUUGCCACUGCAGAAGAUGAAGAAAGUAGAGGAUGCGGCGUGUCACUACUCAAGAUGGAGAAGGAAGAGGGUGUGGUGUACUACAACAGAAGACGAAGAAAGAAAAGGAUGCGGUUUGCUAUUAUAGAAAAUGACACUGAAGAGGAUGCGGCGUAAUAUUAAUGAUCAUAUAGAGAAAGAAGAGGAUGCGGCGUGCCAUUACACAAAAUGAAGUAAGAAGAGGAUGCAACGUGCCACUACAGAAGACGAAGAAAGAAGAGGAUGCGUCAUGCUUUUGAGGAAGACGAAGAAAGAAGAGGAUGCAGCGUGCCACUUCAGAAGAUGAACAAAGAAGAGGAUCCGCCUUGCUAUUAUAAAGAAUGAGAUCGAAGAGGAUGCGGCGUUAAUAUUGAUAAUCAUAUGAAGAAAGAAGAGAUUGCGGCGUACUUUUAAGGAACACCAAGAAGGAUGCGGCGUGCACGUACAGAAGAUGAAGAAAGAGGAUGCAGCGUGCCACUACUGAAGAUGAAGAAAGAAGAGGAUUCGGCUUGCUAUUAUAGAAUAUGCAGAAAGAAGGGUAUGCAGCGUGCUACUACAGAAGAUGAAGAACGAAGAGGAUGCGGAUCGCUAUUACAGAUAAUGAGAAUGAAGAGGAUGCGGCGUAAUAUUAAUGGUCAUAUGAAGAAAGAAGAGGAUGCGGCGUGCCAUUACACAAAAUGAAAUAAGAAGAGGAUGCAACGUGCCAUUACAGAAGAUGAAGAAAGAAGAGGAUGCGGCGUGCUUUCGAGGAAGACGAAGAAAGAAGAGGAUGCAGCGUGCCACUUCAGAAGAUGAAGAAAGAAGAGGAUCCGCCUUCCCAAUUUAGAGAAUGAGACCGAAGAGAAUGCUAUGAAUAAAAAGACUGCAGAGUUUUUGCAAGUCGAAUGUAGUUACCAAAAGCAUAUAGAAUUGAAAGGACUCAAAAGGAAACUUGUGUCCCCGAUCAUAUAUUAUGAAUGAAAAAGAACAUAAAUAUUAUUUGAUACUAAUAAUCUUUGUUAGAAAAUGAUAAGGUUCAAAGAAGACAAAAACAAAUCACUAUAAAAUGCAUGAAGACUGAAGCGGAUGCAGCGCACUAUUGCGGAAGAUGAAGAAAGAAAAUUGGAACGGAUGCGGCAUGUUACUACGGAAGAUGAAGAAAGAAGACUGAAGAGAAACUAAUAUGCAGCGUUGCACCACAGAAAUAAAAAUACCACGAAGAAGAUUAAAGAGCACAAGUAUUAAAUCAAAGUAUAUUAAACUAUUAAGGAAGAAACCUUAAUGAUACGAAUAGAAAAAUAAACUAAAAGAAAUUGAAUUGAUAUCAAAAUCUAAGAAAGGAAGUUUCAAUGCAAAGUGUAUCUUGAACUAUCAUGAAUUUAUUCAUGGGACACGAAACGGAUACAAUAAUAAUUAAUUUAAUUAACUUCUGUUGGUAACACAGGACAUCAAUGAAUUACUAAAGAACAAAUUAAUCAGAACAUAAAGUACCAAAUAUGAAGAGCCCUUUAUUACACCGACCAGCUUAAAUAAACGGUAUUUCAGUAGCUCGUGUCCGCGGAGAAUAUACAAGAAAUUCAAAACAUACUGCCAGAAAAUAACAGUAAUGUUACUUUAAAAAAUAAACAAAUAUAAAUUA